ACUCCUACGGGAGGCAGCAGUGGGGAAUAUUGCACAAUGGGCGCAAGCCUGAUGCAGCAACGCCGCGUGAGGGAUGACGGCCUUCGGGUUGUAAACCUCUUUUAGCAGGGAAGAAGCGAAAGUGACGGUACCUGCAGAAAAAGCGCCGGCUAAACUACGUGCCAGCAGCCGCGGUAAUACGUAGGGCGCAAGCGUUAUCCGGAAUUAUUGGGCGUAAAGAGCUCGUAGGCGGUUUGUCGCGUCUGCUGUGAAAUCCCGAGGCUCAACCUCGGGUCUGCAGUGGGUACGGGCAGACUAGAGUGCGGUAGGGGAGAUUGGAAUUCCUGGUGUAGCGGUGGAAUGCGCAGAUAUCAGGAGGAACACCGAUGGCGAAGGCAGAUCUCUGGGCCGUAACUGACGCUGAGGAGCGAAAGGGUGGGGAGCAAACAGGCUUAGAUACCCUGGUAGGAUAGCG
RNAcentral lists this ribosomal RNA (454 nucleotides) under uncultured bacterium. RNAcentral describes it as "bacterial SSU rRNA". It matches the Rfam family "Bacterial small subunit ribosomal RNA", at positions 335 to 800 of the family's 1533-position model. The record is from RNAcentral.